This 331-nucleotide unclassified non-coding RNA is filed under the name soil metagenome. RNAcentral's name for it is "partial contains 5.8S ribosomal RNA, internal transcribed spacer 2, and large subunit ribosomal RNA". The stretch from base 1 to 120 matches the Rfam family "5.8S ribosomal RNA", at positions 35 to 154 of the family's 154-position model. The record is from RNAcentral.
GAUGAAGAACGUAGCGAAAUGCGAUAAGUAAUGUGAAUUGCAGAAUUCAGUGAAUCAUCGAAUCUUUGAACGCACAUUGCGCCCCCUGGUAUUCCGGGGGGCAUGCCUGUUCGAGCGUCAUUUCACCACUCAAGCCUCGCUUGGUAUUGGGCAACGCGGUCCGCCGCGUGCCUCAAAUCGACCGGCUGGGUCUUCUGUCCCCUAAGCGUUGUGGAAACUAUUCGCUAAAGGGUGUUCGGGAGGCUACGCCGUAAAACAACCCCAUUUCUAAGGUUGACCUCGGAUCAGGUAGGGAUACCCGCUGAACUUAAGCAUAUCAAUAUGCGGAGGA